UACGUAGGGUGCGAGCGCUGUCCGGAAUUAUUGGGCGUAAAGAGCUUGUAGGCGGUUUGUCGCGUCUGCUGUGAAAAUCCGGGGCUCAACCCCGGACUUGCAGUGGGUACGGGCAGACUAGAGUGUGGUAGGGGAGACUGGAAUUCCUGGUGUAGCGGUGAAAUGCGCAGAUAUCAGGAGGAACACCGAUGACGAAGGCAGGUCUCUGGGCCACUACUGACGCUGAGAAGCGAAAGCAUGGGGAGCGAACAGG
This 253-nucleotide ribosomal RNA is filed under the name uncultured bacterium. RNAcentral describes it as "partial 16S ribosomal RNA". It matches the Rfam family "Bacterial small subunit ribosomal RNA", at positions 524 to 776 of the family's 1533-position model. The record is from RNAcentral.